This 71-nucleotide ribosomal RNA is filed under the name Synechococcus sp. KORDI-30. Its description in RNAcentral is "partial 16S ribosomal RNA". It matches the Rfam family "Bacterial small subunit ribosomal RNA", at positions 1463 to 1533 of the family's 1533-position model. The record is from RNAcentral. Lineage: Bacteria; Bacillati; Cyanobacteriota; Cyanophyceae; Synechococcales; Synechococcaceae.
UGGGGCUGAUGACUGGGGUGAAGUCGUAACAAGGUAGCCGUACCGGAAGGUGCGGCUGGAUCACCUCCUAA